Molecule: non-coding RNA, 28 nt
Filed under: Callithrix jacchus (white-tufted-ear marmoset)
Lineage: Eukaryota; Metazoa; Chordata; Mammalia; Primates; Cebidae
Also listed under: 1 other name
Source: RNAcentral
UGAACAGGAGGUGAACUGUGUGGAUUGC